This is a long non-coding RNA of Eriocheir sinensis (Chinese mitten crab), 1622 nucleotides long. RefSeq lists it as uncharacterized. Lineage: Eukaryota; Metazoa; Arthropoda; Malacostraca; Decapoda; Varunidae. The transcript is spliced from 3 exons. The record is from RefSeq and is a predicted model, not a curated record.
CGGGCAGGUGGAGGUCGUUAGCGAAAGCAGUUCAUCUAGGAGAGCAAACUCCGAUUACAAAACCGGGCAGGUGGAGGUCGUUAGCGUGAGCAGUUCACCUAGGAGAGCAAACUCCGAUUACAAACCCGGGCAGGUGGAGGUCGUUAGCGUGAGCAGUUCACCUAGGAGAGCAAACUCCGAUUACAAACCCGGGCAGGUGGAGGUCGUUAGCGAAAGCAGUUCACCUAGGAGAGCAAACUCCGAUUAUAAACCCGGGCAGGUGAGGUUCGUUAGCCGUGGUAGGCAAUUCACCUAGGAGAGCAAACUCCGAACAAUAAACCCGGGCAGGUGAGGUUCGUUAGCCGUGGUAGGCAAUUCACCUAGGAGAGCAAACUCCGAACAAUAAACCCGGGCAGGUUGGGCUCGUGAGCCGUCAUAGGUAAUACACCUAGGAGAGCAAACUCCGAACAAUAAACCCGGGCAGGUUGGGCUCGUGAGCCGUCAUAGGUAAUACACCUAGGAGAGCAAACUCCGAACAAUAAACCCGGGCAGGUUGGGCUCGUGAGCCGUCAUAGGUAAUACACCUAGGAGAGCAAACUCCGAUCAUAAAACCCGGGCAGGUUGGGCUCGUGAGCCGUCAUAGGUAAUACACCUAGGAGAGCAAACUCCAUACAUAAAACCCGGGCAGGUGGAGCUCGUCAGCCGUGGUAGGCAAUCUGCCUAGGAGAGUAAACUCCGAACAAUAAACCCGGGCAGGUGUAGCUCGUCAGCCGUGGUAGGCAGUCUGCCUAGGAGAGCAAACUCCGAACAAUAAACCGGGGCUUGUGGUGCUCGUUAGAUGUCGUAGACAAUCCACGUGAUGGGAACACCAAAGAAAAGGAAAAUAAAAAGGAACACCAGAAAAAGGAAAAUAUAGUAACAAAAAAUCAAGAAAAGAAAAGAAAAAACACAGAUCAUCCACCUUCAGGCCCUAACAUCACCAAAAUUAUGGGUGAGUCUUUUCUGGGGAGAAAGAGGCUCAUUCAGACCAAAGAACAUCAAAAAGGGAUGAUAUAGAAAGGAACACCAAAAAAAUGGGAAAAAGAAAAAACAUCGCAAAAGAAAAGUAACAACAAUAACAACAACGUCAAGAAAAGUAACAUACAAAGAAACAUCAUCCACCAUUCGGCCCCAAACUAACAUCACCAAAAUUAUGGGUGGGUCUCUUCUGGGAGGAAAGCGGCUCACCCAGACCAACGAAGAACAUCAACAAGAGGAUGAUAUGAAAUAAAAGAACAUUAAAAAACACGAAGAAAAGAAAUAAGAAGAAAAGGAACAGAAAAAAAAUAUCGGAAAAGAAAAACAAGAAGAAAAACAUCAAGAGAAGAAAAAUAUAAGAAACAUCAUCCACCUUUCGGCCCCUAACUAACAUCACCAAAAUUAUGGGUGGGUCUCUUCUGGGAGGAAAGCGGCUCACCCAGGCCAACGAACAUCAACAAGAGGAUGAUAUGAAAUAAAAGAACAUCAAAAAAGAAAAACAACAGCAAGAAAACAAAGAAAAAGAUAAAGAAAAGAAAAGGAAAAAGAAACAAAAUGAAAAAGAAAAACACCAAAAUAAAAUAAAAAAACAAAAAAAUAAUCCAAAUAAAUAAAUAAAUAAACAA